GUUUGCUGAGAUCCAGAAGGCUAAUUUGUCAUUCUUUAGACACAGAAAACACAUCUCCACAUCACUAUAUAUUCAAAAUUUGGGUUAAUGAAUUUAUAAAGUAUCCUGAUAUGAAUUAUUAUUUUGGAACCAUAAUAACAUUUUCCAAGUUUCAAAAAUUUUGCAUCCAAUUUCUGAUUCCCAAGCUGAACUUUAUGAUUGUAUAGCAUUAAAGUCUGUCAGACAAAAUAAAAAAACAAGAGGCUCUCAAGAGCCUGAAUCGCUCACCUGGUAAGCAAUGCCUUAUUGAACAUAUUGAACCAUGCAGGCAAACAU
Molecule: long non-coding RNA, 315 nt
Filed under: Mytilus galloprovincialis (Mediterranean mussel)
Lineage: Eukaryota; Metazoa; Mollusca; Bivalvia; Mytilida; Mytilidae
Source: RNAcentral